UACGGAGGGGACUAGCGUUGUUCGGAAUUACUGGGCGUAAAGCGCACGUAGGCGGAUUGUUAAGUCAGGGGUGAAAUCCCGAGGCUCAACCUCGGAACUGCCUUGAUACUGGCAAUCUCGAGUCCGGAAGAGGUGAGUGGAAUUCCUAGUGUAGAGGUGAAAUUCGUAGAUAUUAGGAAGAACACCAGUGGCGAAGGCGGCUCACUGGUCCGGUACUGACGCUGAGGUGCGAAAGCGUGGGGAGCAAACAGG
This 252-nucleotide ribosomal RNA is filed under the name uncultured bacterium. RNAcentral's name for it is "partial 16S ribosomal RNA". It matches the Rfam family "Bacterial small subunit ribosomal RNA", at positions 524 to 776 of the family's 1533-position model. The record is from RNAcentral.